AGUACCUCCGCAGGAGGUUCGAGCCUCGCGAAGCGAGACAACGUUGCUUCAGCAACGGCCCGCAGGGCGCGCAUCAACGAUGCGCGUAAUCCUCUCUCGCCGACCA
Molecule: small RNA, 106 nt
Filed under: Serratia marcescens
Lineage: Bacteria; Pseudomonadati; Pseudomonadota; Gammaproteobacteria; Enterobacterales; Yersiniaceae
Description: RtT sRNA
Rfam family: RtT RNA
About the family: This family represents a bacterial cis-regulatory element known as RtT RNA. The exact function of RtT is unknown although it is thought that it may be involved in changing the cellular response in relation to amino acid starvation.
Source: RNAcentral